Molecule: long non-coding RNA, 2727 nt
Filed under: Olea europaea subsp. europaea
Lineage: Eukaryota; Viridiplantae; Streptophyta; Magnoliopsida; Lamiales; Oleaceae
Source: RNAcentral
CUAAAGAUGAAAUCUCAUGUGUUUAAGAUUUUUGAAGAAUUUAACAAACUCAUUGAAAACUACUUUCGUACUAAAAUCAAAACUAUAAAUACAGAUGGUGGUGGAGAGUAUCGAGCAGUUUCUCUCCUCCUAACCCAACAUAGAAUCCAGCAUCUUACUUCUUCACCCUAUACACCUGAACAUGUUGGCUCCGUUGAACGCAAACAUUGUCAUAUUGUGGAAACUGGUCUCAUACUUCUCCACAAUGCUGCUAUUACACUUCAUUUUUGGUCACAUGCUUUCCAAUCUGCCAUUUAUCUAAUUAUCAGAAUGCCUAUAAUUGUUCACAACCAUGGUACACCUUAUCACAAAUUAUUUGGCCAUAGACCCACAUACACUUCCCUUCGAGUUUUUGGCCGUCUUUGUUAUCCUUGGCUUCACUCAUAUAGCACCCACAAACUCAAACCUCACUCACGACCAUGUGCGUAUCUCAAAUUUUCCCUUUCUUACAAUUCCUUUCUCUAUUUUGAUCCUCAUUCAAAUUGUCUCUUUGUAUCUAGAUAUGUUGUCUUCUUUGAGAAAAUAUUUCCUUACAAAACAAACUCAUAUCUUGAUUUAUGCAUAUCUUCCCAAGAAUUUGGGCCAAGUCACUCUGCAUGCCAAAGACGCCAUUGACUCCAUCAUCUUAACCCCUUCCGCAUCGUACUUCCAAAAAUUCCUUCGACCCAUCCAUUCCCUGCUUAACAAGAUGUCUCAACUUUGUCUUCUCCUAAAGAUGCUUUUUGACACUCUCCAACAUAGCUAAGUAGUUCUUUCUCUUCAUCUAACACGUGUAGACUUAUCUACUGCAUGCCAUGACAUCAACCAAACUAUUUAGUAAACUAAAACUGGUUCGUCUCUCUUCUCGCAACCAGUUAAACCAUCUCAUAUGGUCGGUCACCAGUGCCCAAAAUAACAUCUACAAACCAAAACAACCAUUCUCUCUAAACACUACUAUAUCCUCCCUCCUAAUCCCAAACAGAACCUCUAUCAUACACCCAAGUAAUUAAACACUCUCAUUAGCGUGAUGCCAUGAAAGAUGAAUUUCUUGCUCUUAAGGAAAUCAAAUCUUGGUUCCUUAUUCCAUUUUCUCUGCACAAAAUAUUGUCAGGUUCAAAUGGGUUUAUAGAAUCAAACGGAACAUGAAUGGCUCCGUUGUUCGUGAUAAGGCCCGUUUGUGGCAAAGGGGUUUCAUCUACGACCCGAACUUGAUUUUAUGGAAACCUUUACCCCAAUUGUAAAACCAGCCACCAUUCACCUUGUCCUCACUAUUGCCAUUACUCAUGGUUGGGUUUUAAAUUAAUUGGAUUUUAAUAAUGCCUUCUUUGAAAGCACUCUAUCAGAAUGUGUUUUUAUACAGCAACCUCAAGGAUUUGUUGAUCCUCAAUAUCCUUCUCAUGUCCGUAAAUUAAUUAAAGCAAUUUAUGGUCUUCGGCAAUUUCCUCGGGCAUGGUACAAUGAACUUCAAUCCUUUCUUCUAAGAGUGAUACAUCUCUCUUGAUCUAUAGUUCAGGAACUCGCAUUAUAUACUUGCUUGUGUAUGUUGAUGACAUUAUACUCACCAGCAAUCACUCCUCAACUCUUCAUAAAUCCACCAGUCAGCUCUCCAACAUGUUUUCUCUCAAGGGUUUUGGAAAGUUCAACUACUUCUUGGGCGUUAAAUCACUUGGUCCUCGGAUGGCUUAUUCUUAUCUCAGCAGAAGUAUAUUCUUGUUCUACUUCAGUGAACUAAUAUGCAGGAAGCCAAGGAAAUUAGCACCCCAUUCUCUACUUCAAAGACACUAAAACUUGAUGAUGGUUCCCCUGGACAUGACCCAACUGAGUAUCGUCAAGUUCUUGGCUCCCUUCAGUAUCUUUCUUUUACACGACCUGAUGUUACCCAUGCUGUUAACAAGUUGGCUCAUUUUUUGCAUAAACCAACCUCUACCAAUUGGCUUGUUGUUAAACGAGUUCUUUGAUAUCUCAAGGGAACUUCUCAUUAUGGUAUCUUCAAUUCAUCUCAAUCACCUCUUGCCCUUCAUGUUUUUUGCCGACGCCAACUUGGCUAGUGAAGUUGAUACACGUCACUUUACAUCUAUCUAUCUUGUAUUUCUUGGCUCUCAUCCUGUUAAUUGGAGCUCUAAGAAACAAUCUACCAUAGUCCACUCCUCAACCAAGGCCGAAUACAUGCCACUGCUAUUGCUACUAUUGAAGUGAAUUAGCUCACCUACUUGCUUUGUGAACUUGUCAUAUCACUUCCAGCUCUUCCAACAAUCUACUAUGACAAUGUUGGAGCUACUUUCUGAUGCUCUAAUCCUAUCUUCCACUCAAGUAUGAAGCAUAUUGCCAUUGACUUUUAUUUUGUGCGUGAUCAAGUUUCUCGCAAGUUGCUUUUUUCACAUGUUCAUACUACAGACCAACUUCUUGAUUCUCUCACUAGACCUCUAGCUCGAAAGUAGUUCCUAAUUCAUAUGUCCAAGCUUAGUGUCCCUCCUGGACCCUUACGCUUGCGGGGCAUAAUAGAACACAAAGUUAACAGGUUUAUUAUUAAAGAGUUUUAUUCUAUCAUUGAUUGUAAUCAUAUUAUAAUUAUCUCCUUAUUUAGUUGAUUUAAUUUUCCAUUGUACAGAUUAGAACUGUGGGAUUAAUUUAACUAGAUUAAUGGGAUUGAUUUCCUUUACUUGCAGGUAUUUUUGUAGUCAUCCAUGUCAAUAAUACAAAGCAAUAUCC